GCAAUGGAAUUCAAGUUAGGACGUUGAGCCAGAACUAUAGCAACGCAAGUGAAGACCAAGAACCACUCUGCCCCAGUCAAUAACUUGGCAUCGCAUGAGGCUCCUCCGCCACAUACAGUAUCGUAGAAAAGCUUCAUGGUCCUACUCCCUGUGAUUAUUAGGAUCACGCACGUGCCACCUGAUAGGUACAUCACUGGGAAUAUUGCUACCAGUUUCCCUAGCUUUGGACCAAAGGAAGCGAUAGCAAGUUGAAGAUAUCUGCUGCAACGGGGCCCGGGCAGUGCCUCGUGAAGGUGGACCAAAACCCAGAUCGUGUAGAGUUGCCACGCAAAUGCCAGCAAUAAACAUGUGAUUCCCCAUGACCAUCCAAGAGAAGAGAAGGCCAGAGGAAGUAGCAGAGCUUGAAAUCCAAUUCCUGAGGAAAGCAAAUGGAAUACACAACUGAA
This 446-nucleotide unclassified non-coding RNA is filed under the name Hevea brasiliensis (rubber tree). The record is from RNAcentral. Lineage: Eukaryota; Viridiplantae; Streptophyta; Magnoliopsida; Malpighiales; Euphorbiaceae.